GGGGGUAUGGUGGAAUCGGUCUACACAGCAGACUCAAAAUCUGUGCUUCGGCAUACCAGUUCGAAUCUGGUUACCCCUA
This 79-nucleotide transfer RNA is filed under the name Caudoviricetes sp. RNAcentral's name for it is "tRNA-Leu". It matches the Rfam family "tRNA". From Rfam's summary of the family: Transfer RNA (tRNA) molecules are approximately 80 nucleotides in length. Their secondary structure includes four short double-helical elements and three loops (D, anti-codon, and T loops). Lineage: Duplodnaviria; Heunggongvirae; Uroviricota; Caudoviricetes. The record is from RNAcentral.